UACAGAGGUGGCAAGCGUUGUUCGGAAUUACUGGGCGUAAAGGGCUCGUAGGCGGCCAACUAAGUCAGACGUGAAAUCCCUCGGCUUAACCGGGGAACUGCGUCUGAUACUGGAUGGCUAGAGGUUGGGAGAGGGAUGCGGUAUUCCAGGUGUAGCGGUGAAAUGCGUAGAUAUCUGGAGGAACACCGGUGGCGAAGGCGGCGUCCUGGACCAACACUGACACUGAGGAGCGAAAGCCAGGGGAGCAAACGGG
RNAcentral lists this ribosomal RNA (253 nucleotides) under uncultured bacterium. Its description in RNAcentral is "partial 16S ribosomal RNA". It matches the Rfam family "Bacterial small subunit ribosomal RNA", at positions 524 to 776 of the family's 1533-position model. The record is from RNAcentral.